Molecule: non-coding RNA, 181 nt
Organism: Thalictrum thalictroides
Lineage: Eukaryota; Viridiplantae; Streptophyta; Magnoliopsida; Ranunculales; Ranunculaceae
Source: the annotation of a GenBank genome assembly
UAACUUACCUGGACGGGGUCUAUGGGCGAUCAUGAAGGUCCAUGGCCUAGGUUGGUGACCUCCAUUGCACUCAGGAUGGGCGCACUUAAGAUAUCUCCAAGUGGGAUAGUGAACGCGUACCCUGCGAAAAAAAAUAAAAUUUGUCACAACUAUUGUUUGGCAAAAACUUUCAACCUCUUGU